UUGUUGGUAAGGUAAAAGCUUACCAAGGCUUCGAUCAGUAGCUGGUCUGAGAGGACGACCAGCCACACUGGGACUGAGACACGGCCCAGACUCCUACGGGAGGCAGCAGUGGGGAAUUUUGGACAAUGGGGGCAACCCUGAUCCAGCCAUGCCGCGUGAGUGAAGAAGGCCUUCGGGUUGUAAAGCUCUUUCAGCCGGAACGAAACGGUUACGGAUAACACCCGUGACUACUGACGGUACCGGAAGAAGAAGCACCGGCUAACUACGUGCCGGCAGCCGCGGUAAUACGUAGGGUGCGAGCGUUAAUCGGAAUUACUGGGCGUAAAGCGUGCGCAGGUGGUUUUGUAAGUCAGAUGUGAAAGCCCCGGGCUCAACCUGGGAACUGCGUUUGAAACUACAAGACUAGAGUGUGGCAGAGGGGGGUGGAAUUCCGCGUGUAGCAGUGAAAUGCGUAGAGAUGUGGAGGAACACCGAUGGCGAAGGCAGCCCCCUGGGUCAACACUGACGCUCAGGCACGAAAGCAUGGGGAGCAAACAGGAUUAGAUACCCUGGUAGUCCAUGCCCUAAACGAUGUCAACUAGUUGUCGGGCCUUUACGGGCUUGGUAACGUAGCUAACGCGUGAAGUUGACCGCCUGGGGAGUACGAUCGCAAGAUUAAAACUCAAAUGAAUUGACGGGGACCCGCACAAGCGGUGGAUUAUGUGGAUUAAUUCGAUGCAACGCGAAAAACCUUACCUACCCUUGACAUGUAUCGAAGCCCGCAGAAAAGCGGGGGUGCCCGAAAGGGAACGAUAACACAGGUGCUGCAUGGCUGUCGUCAGCUCGUGUCGUGAGAUGUUGGGUUAAGUCCCGCAACGAGCGCAACCCUUGUCAUUAAUUGCCAUCAUUUAGUUGGGCACUUUAAUGAGACUGCCGG
Molecule: ribosomal RNA, 916 nt
Filed under: uncultured bacterium
Lineage: Bacteria
Description: bacterial SSU rRNA
Rfam family: Bacterial small subunit ribosomal RNA
Source: RNAcentral